RNAcentral lists this ribosomal RNA (497 nucleotides) under uncultured bacterium. Its description in RNAcentral is "partial 16S ribosomal RNA". It matches the Rfam family "Bacterial small subunit ribosomal RNA", at positions 28 to 507 of the family's 1533-position model. The record is from RNAcentral.
GAUGAACGCUGGCGGCGUGCCUAAUACAUGCAAGUCGAGCGAACAGACGAGGAGCUUGCUCCUCUGACGUUAGCGGCGGACGGGUGAGUAACACGUGGAUAACCUACCUAUAAGACUGGGAUAACUUCGGGAAACCGGAGCUAAUACCGGAUAACAUGUUGAACCGCAUGGUUCAACAGUGAAAGACGGUCUUGCUGUCACUUAUAGAUGGAUCCGCGCCGCCUUAGCUAGUUGGUAAGGUAAAGGCUUACCAAGGCAACGAUGCGUUGCCGACCUGAGAGGGUGGUCGGCCACACUGGAACUGAGCCACGGUCCAUACUCCUACGAGAGGCAGCAGUAGGGAAUCUUCCGCAAUGGGCGAAAGCCUGACGGAGCAACGCCGCGUGAGUGAUGAAGGUCUUCGGAUCGUAAAACUCUGUUAUUAGGGAAGAACAAAUGUGUAAGUAACUAUGCACGUCUUGACGGUAACUAGUCAGAAAGCCAUGGCUAACUACGUG